This 763-nucleotide ribosomal RNA is filed under the name uncultured Streptococcus sp. Its description in RNAcentral is "bacterial SSU rRNA". It matches the Rfam family "Bacterial small subunit ribosomal RNA", at positions 28 to 776 of the family's 1533-position model. Lineage: Bacteria; Bacillati; Bacillota; Bacilli; Lactobacillales; Streptococcaceae. The record is from RNAcentral.
GACGAACGCUGGCGGCGUGCCUAAUACAUGCAAGUAGAACGCUGAAGGAGGAGCUUGCUUCUCCGGAUGAGUUGCGAACGGGUGAGUAACGCGUAGGUAACCUGCCUGGUAGCGGGGGAUAACUAUUGGAAACGAUAGCUAAUACCGCAUAAUAGUAGAUGUUGCAUGACAUUUAUUUAAAAGGUGCAAUUGCAUCACUACCAGAUGGACCUGCGUUGUAUUAGCUAGUUGGUGGGGUAACGGCUCACCAAGGCGACGAUACAUAGCCGACCUGAGAGGGUGAUCGGCCACACUGGGACUGAGACACGGCCCAGACUCCUACGGGAGGCAGCAGUAGGGAAUCUUCGGCAAUGGACGGAAGUCUGACCGAGCAACGCCGCGUGAGUGAAGAAGGUUUUCGGAUCGUAAAGCUCUGUUGUAAGAGAAGAACGAGUGUGGGAGUGGAAAGUUCACACUGUGACGGUAUCUUACCAGAAAGGGACGGCUAACUACGUGCCAGCAGCCGCGGUAAUACGUAGGUCCCGAGCGUUGUCCGGAUUUAUUGGGCGUAAAGCGAGCGCAGGCGGUUAGAUAAGUCUGAAGUUAAAGGCUGUGGCUUAACCAUAGUACGCUUUGGAAACUGUUUAACUUGAGUGCAAGAGGGGAGAGUGGAAUUCCAUGUGUAGCGGUGAAAUGCGUAGAUAUAUGGAGGAACACCGGUGGCGAAAGCGGCUCUCUGGCUUGUAACUGACGCUGAGGCUCGAAAGCGUGGGGAGCAAACAGG